CUCCCGCCGAUUUGUGCCCCAGCAAGAAUCUGCAAAGCCUUAGAGGUUGACAGACAAGCUGUGCUGGAGAGGGCGCGAGGGGGGAAGGGAUCUGCCAGCCCUGGCCCAUCCCCCAUUCCCUACCCUGCGUCUCAUAUGUCUGAUCCAGUGCACCAUUGAUCGGAGCACGCUACACCUUUUUUUGGGGGGGGGAUUCCCCUUAACCCCCACGUGUUCUCCGUGCUCACAGCGGCCUGCGUGUGUGCGAAAGGCCAAGAUUGGAAAUGCUGAACGCUUUGCAUUUUCUUGCACGUUGUAAUAGAUAUUACUUCCAUCAGGAGAAAUAAACUGUUUUAGCAUGAAGGGAACCCAUACCAGGAGAAAAUACUGAGAAUUUUAAAUGGAUAUCUCAUUUAUGAGGGCUUUUUAAUUUUUCAGCCUUCCCUUGCAAACUUUAAAUUACAUUCCCAGCUAUGACAUCUGGUUUCUCAUCAGUGUGUGUGCCAUCAUUUUGCAAAAGUUGGUACCGUCUAACAUGAUGAAUCAUCAUAGUUAUUUAUCUUUGGAAGAUGGACAGCUCUGCAGUAUCUGCUUGGAAUACUUUUUUUUAGUGGGGAAAAGCAUAUAGGACAUAACUUGAUAGUGCACAACAGAAAUCUCCAUGGAGUCAAACUGCUUUAGUCUAUGAAACCAUGGGAUGGUAUAAGAAUGACUUGUCUUAACAAAGUUCUGACUGUUUUGCUGCCUCAGUUUACUUCUUGUUGUAUGACCUAAAGCUGAUCUCCUUACACCUUCAUGCGGAGGUGAGGAUUCAUAAUGCUGCCUUGUUGGGCCAUAUUCGGUAAUAGCCAUCCUCUAGAGUUUAGCACUUGUCGCGUUUUCAAUUUGCAGUACAAACAUUUUGUGAUUCAGAAGGCUGAUCCAGUUGGUUGUGAUGUAAGCAGAACAUAAGACUUCAUAUAUUAAUUUCUGUGCAUAUCAUGUAUGUAGAGCUUUGUGAAUUACACUAUUUAUCCUAAACUUUAAAGCUAUAUGACUGCAUACAGUACUUCUGGUGAGAAUGGCUUGAAAGUAUACCCAAGAUCUGCAAUAAAUGUCUUUUGACUUGC
Long non-coding RNA from Emys orbicularis (European pond turtle), 1088 nucleotides. RefSeq lists it as uncharacterized. The record is from RefSeq and is a predicted model, not a curated record. The transcript is spliced from 2 exons. NCBI's taxonomy places the organism in Eukaryota, Metazoa, Chordata, Testudines, Emydidae.